RNAcentral lists this ribosomal RNA (254 nucleotides) under uncultured bacterium. RNAcentral's name for it is "partial 16S ribosomal RNA". It matches the Rfam family "Bacterial small subunit ribosomal RNA", at positions 524 to 777 of the family's 1533-position model. The record is from RNAcentral.
UACAGAGGGUGCAAGCGUUGUUCGGAAUUACUGGGCGUAAAGGGCGCGUAGGCGGCCUUCUAAGUCGAACGUGAAAUCCCCGGGCUCAACCCGGGAACUGCGUCCGAUACUGGAAGGCUUGAAUCCGGGAGAGGGAUGCGGAAUUCCAGGUGUAGCGGUGAAAUGCGUAGAUAUCUGGAGGAACACCGGUGGCGAAGGCGGCAUCCUGGACCGGCAUUGACGCUGAGGCGCGAAAGCCAGGGGAGCAAAGCGGG